AAUAGAUACCCGGGUAGUCCACGCCGUAAACGAUGAGUGCUAAGUGUUAGAGGGUUUCCGCCCUUUAGUGCUGCAGCUAACGCAUUAAGCACUCCGCCUGGGGAGUACGGCCGCAAGGCUGAAACUCAAAGGAAUUGACGGGGGCCCGCACAAGCGGUGGAGCAUGUGGUUUAAUUCGAAGCAACGCGAAGAACCUUACCAGGUCUUGACAUCCUCUGCUAACCCUAGAGAUAGGGCGUUCCCCUUCGGGGGACAGAGUGACAGGUGGUGCAUGGUUGUCGUCAGCUCGUGUCGUGAGAUGUUGGGUUAAGUCCCGCAACGAGCGCAACCCUUGAUCUUAGUUGCCAGCAUUUAGUUGGGCACUCUAAGGUGACUGCCGGUGACAAACCGGAGGAAGGUGGGGAUGACGUCAAAUCAUCAUGCCCCUUAUGACCUGGGCUACACACGUGCUACAAUGGAUGGUACAAAGAGCUGCGAACCCGCGAGGGUAAGCCAAUCUCAUAAAGCCCAUUCUCAGUUCGGAUUGUAGG
RNAcentral lists this ribosomal RNA (530 nucleotides) under uncultured bacterium. RNAcentral describes it as "bacterial SSU rRNA". It matches the Rfam family "Bacterial small subunit ribosomal RNA", at positions 777 to 1304 of the family's 1533-position model. The record is from RNAcentral.